This 429-nucleotide ribosomal RNA is filed under the name uncultured bacterium. RNAcentral describes it as "bacterial SSU rRNA". It matches the Rfam family "Bacterial small subunit ribosomal RNA", at positions 355 to 775 of the family's 1533-position model. The record is from RNAcentral.
UCUAGAAAAUUGCACAAUGGGCGAAAGCCUGAUGCAGCGACGCCGCGUGCGGGAUGAAGUCUUUCGGGAUGUAAACCGCUGACAGGGGGGACGAUGAUACUAAUGGCUAAUAUCCAUUGGUAUUGACGGUACCCCCAAAGGAAGCACCGGCUAACUACGUGCCAGCAGCCGCGGUAAUACGUAGGGUGCAAGCGUUGCCCGGAUUCACUGGGCGUAAAGGGUGCGUAGGCGGAUUGGUAAGUCGAUUGUGAAAUCUCUAGGCUCAACCUGGAAACUGCGGUCGAUACUGCCGAUCUAGAGGACAGAAGAGGAGAGCGGAACUCCUGGUGUAGCGGUAAAAUGCGUGGAUAUCAGGAGGAACGCCUAUGGCGAAAGCAGCUCUCUGGUAUGUUCCUGACGCUGAAGCACGAAAGCUAAGGUAGCAAACCG